This 164-nucleotide ribosomal RNA is filed under the name uncultured bacterium. RNAcentral's name for it is "partial 16S ribosomal RNA". It matches the Rfam family "Bacterial small subunit ribosomal RNA", at positions 355 to 511 of the family's 1533-position model. The record is from RNAcentral.
UAGGGAAUCUUCCACAAUGGACGAAAGUCUGAUGGAGCAACGCCGCGUGAGUGAAGAAGGGUUUCGGCUCGUAAAACUCUGUUGUUAAAGAAGAACAUAUCUGAGAGUAACUGUUCAGGUAUUGACGGUAUUUAACUAGAAAGCCACGGCUAACUACGUGCCAA